Molecule: long non-coding RNA, 1612 nt
Organism: Capsicum annuum
Lineage: Eukaryota; Viridiplantae; Streptophyta; Magnoliopsida; Solanales; Solanaceae
Exons: 4
Source: RefSeq, a predicted model, not a curated record
UUAUUUUGUGAGUGGUGCAAUAAUCUGAGCUAGCUAGAUGUGUUGCAGAUAUUUCGCGUGUAUGUGCAUAGCAUUAUUAUCUUUUGCCAUUACUCAUGAAUAAAGGAAGGAGGUUAAUACACUGUGGUUUUCAACUUAUGAGUUUAUGCGUUCUGUUGACCUCUUUUCUCUGAAAAUUUUGAUUAAGUAGAGCUUUUUUGUAUGUAUUAAAUGGAUGGAACUGUUACUUAUUAUUGGUUGUGCAUUGCUAUUAUAUCUAAUAUAUGUUUGGUGGAGAGUUUGAAGUUGUUUCCAGGAUUUUUGCAGAUAAUGGUUGGUUUUGUUGCUUCUUAGUGAGAAGGUGUAGCUGCAAAAAAGCUAUUAGUUUUUAUUUUUUAUCAUAUGACCAUAUGAAUGAUACUGUGUUUCAUCAAAACCUAAGUUUGCUUACUAUUAUAACUUCGCCUCAAUCUCGAACAAGUUGGGUGGGCUACAUGAUUCCUUAGUUUUCCUUUUAAGCUCAACUCAUGAAACUUACUGUGACACCUUACAUCCAAUGCAAUUGGGAAUUCGAAUUACGCUGCUGUAAAGGCUGUAUUUACCGACCCCAAAACUGAUCAAGCAAUCAGAACUCAGAAACCUGUGUAGUCUAAACAUCUCUGGCUCUUCCCAUAUCAAAGGAUCCCUUGUAAUAGCCCAGACGUUAACCAAGAUUUGAGCGUCUUUAGGAAUUGUGUAACUCAUCACUUGGCAGGAUUCAAUAGCACGAUGUGGAAGCAGCAAUGGUGCUGGAGGAUGCAACCUAAGUGUUUCCUUCACACAGGCUUGGACAUAGGAGAUCUGCAGCAAUUGAGAUUCUUUUAGGUACUGUAGUUUGAACCAGCAGAGAGUAACUCCAUAAAUAUCGGUAGCCAGGAUGAAGUGCAGAAGUCUCUGGAUGAGUGAUUGAGGGGAUAAGUUGGUGAACUUCUAAUGGAAGAACAUUUGGUUUUUUGUGUUGACCAUCUCACUGCACCCGAGUCUUGCACUCUCUGCCACGGCCCAAGGAUACAGAAUCCUCUGGAGGCAGAUCUGACUCUCAGACAGUUGGUACGUCCUCAGGUGCUGAUGCUACGGUGGACGAAGGUCCAACAGCUGGAGAUGAAGAAGAGCCAUUACUUCAGACUGUGGAAUGCUGGAUUUGCCAGGAAGAAGAUAGUUUGAAAAAUUUGGAGAUUCCUUGUGGUUGCAGUGGCAGCUUGAAGCUAAAGCCUAAAAUUUGCUAAUACCUGAUAUAUUUUUCUCAAGAACUGAAGAUUUGCAUUGAUUCAACAUUCUACAGAAGCCCGAUAUUUAAGUUUUCUAUCCUCUUCAACAAAAUUUAAAGCAUUGUAAUUCCUAAUUCCUCUAAGCCUCACGUCUGUGAAAUAUUGUUUUAGUUUUUGUUUUUGAAUUGUUUGUCAAUAAGGGUGAUCUGGUUACAUUUUCUUUUCCUUGAUCCCUUUAAUACCAGGCUAGGAGCAAGCAUCAUUGUUACAAAGUAAGACAUGUUUUGAGUAUAUAUAUGUGCUCUAUAGAUAGUCUUCUAUGCUUAGGAUGACUCGAAUGCUCAUGUAUUAGAUGUAUAAUUUUAUUAAGGAUUGUCUUAUAUGCU